Molecule: long non-coding RNA, 2151 nt
Organism: Bubalus bubalis (water buffalo)
Lineage: Eukaryota; Metazoa; Chordata; Mammalia; Artiodactyla; Bovidae
Exons: 4
Source: RefSeq, a predicted model, not a curated record
CAAUAGGAGGCUCCUUGCCCCCACUCUUCUGUAAAAUAUACGCUCCGCCCAGGGUUUCCAUCUUGGGAGUCACUUUCAAGUUCGCAGCCUAGAGAGAGCAGUGUGUUGUUAAGACUCUGAACUGCAUUUGUGCCUGAACCCCAUGGAGGCCUUUGUGGAAACUUGAGAUUCUGGCAGGAGGCUAUGAAGAUCUACUGGACUGGCAGCCACCUAAGACAAGCCUCCUAAAUGAAGAGACAGAAGGAUUUAGAAUCUCAUUAAAGGUUUUGGAGCUGAUAAGUGGCAGAGCUGAAAUUUGAAUCCAGGGAGUUUCACAAAAUGAGCUUGGCUUUCUUAACUGCUAAGCUGUACUCUGCAUAUUCUUAAUUUCCCAUUACACUCUCCCCCGUGAAGGACUGUGGACCAUGCAUGAUUGUAUUACCGGAUAUACAAGCACACGGUGUCCAGAGAAAUAGGAGUAUAUGGAAAUCUUUACAGUGAGGACAAGUAAAUGGAUGAUACCUGGUAUCAGUUACCCAGCUCUGGAUGAAGAAAUGCAUAUAGAGACACAAUUUGAGCUUUGUGAGCUGACAGUCAAGCAAGUCCACUAGGAGCCAAGUGGCUGGAAGAAUAAAUCCUCAUGAUGAUCAACUCCAAGUUCAAGACCCCAGGGUACCAGGAUCCCAGUCUUGCAAAAGCCAUAGGCAGGCUUUAAACAUCUGAAUUACCUGAUCUGAUCUGCACUUUAAGAGAUUAUUAUGCGCUCUGACUAACAUCUUCCUAUUUCCCUGACUCCCUGGCCCUGGCAACCACCAUUCUAUUUUCUGUUUCUAUGAAAUUUGGCUUUUUAAAAUUCCACCUGUAGGUAAUAAUCACAUUUGUUGUUGUUCAGUCGCCCAGUCACGUCCGACUGUUUGCGACCCCAUGGACUGCAGCACGCUGGGCCUCCCUGUCCUCACCAUCUCCUAGAGUUUGCCCACGUUCGUGUUCAUUGCACAAGUGAUGCAAUAUCAAAUGUAAUAUGCAAAGUAAUAUCCUAUACUAUUUGUUUUCCUCUAUCUGACUUAUUUCACUUAGCAUAAUGCCCUCAAGGCCCAUUUGUGUUGUGGCAAAUGACAGAAGUCCCUUCUUUCUCAUGACUGAUACACAUACACACACAGGUAUAACACAUAUUCUUUAUCCAGUUAUCCUUGACAAACCCUUAGCUGUUUCCUUGUCUUGGCUAUUGUGAAUAAUACUGCAAAAAACACGAGCAUGCACAUACUUCUUUGAAAACUUGUUGCAUUUCCUUUGGCUGCAUAUCCAGAAGUAGAAUGUCUGGAUUAUAUGGUAGUUCUAUUUUUAAUUUUUAAGGGAUUCCCAUACUGUUUUACAUGGUGGCUAUACCAAUUUACAUCCCUACCAACAGCAUAUGAGGUUGCCCUUUAUUCCAUGCCCUUGCCUACAUAUUAUUUCUUGUCUGUUUGACAGGUGUGAGGUGAUAUUUGUUUGUGGUUUUGAUUUGCAUUUUACUUAUGAUUAGUCAUGCUGAGCACCUUCUCUGUGUCAUUUGACCAUUUGCAUAUAUUCUGUAGAAAAAUAUCUAUCCAUUUUUAAGUCAGAUUCUCUUUUUGCUAUUGAAUUGUAUGAGUUCUUUAUAUAUUUUGGUCAUUAACCCCUUAUUAGAUAUUUGAUUUGUAAGUAUUUUCUCCCGUUUCAGUGGUUAUCUUUUAAUUUUGUUAAUGAUUCCCUUUGCUGUGGAGAAGCCUUUUAAUUUGAUGUAGACUCACUUGCAUAUUUUUGUUUUUGUUGUCAAGUCCAAAAAAUCAUUGCCAAGACCAAUUUCAAGGAGCUUAUUAUCCCCUAUAUUUUCUUCUAGGAGUUUUAUGAUUUUAGGCGUCACCUUCAAGUCUUUGAUCUAUUAAUAUUUUGAUUUGAUUUUUGUGUAUGGUGUAAGAUAGGGAUCCAGUUAUUUAUUUAUUUAUUUUUUGCAUGUGGAUAUCCAGUUUAUCUACCAUUGUUUACAGAAGAGACUAUUAUUUCCCCUUCUUAUAUUUUCUGCUCCCUUGUUGACUGUAUAUUUGAUACUUUGGGGCUCUUGAUUCUGUUCUAUUUGCCUGUGUAUCUGUUUAUGCCAGUACUGUACUGAUUUGAUUACUAUAGUUUUGUAAUAUAGUUUGAAAUCAAGAACUC